UUCCAAUAAAGUGUUUAAGUCAACUAUGCAUUUCAUAAUAUUAUAAAAUGCAUAGUUGACUUAAAUAAUGAAGACUAAGAGAAAUCAAAAGUUAAUCCGACUCACUCAUCCAUCAGGAGUAUCUUUCAUCUAUAUUGCAGUGAAGGAAUCAAAUAUAGUCUUUUUAGUUUUACAGUCACAUCACUUCGGUCAUUUCUUAUAACUAUUUAAAAUUCUUUUACUCAAAUCAAAUUCAUUUAUAUCAUGUUUCCAGAUUACAUAAAGAUCACAAAAAAAAACAAUCAUCUCACAGUCUUAUUACAUCAUCAGUAGCCAGAAACAGUUAAAAACAUCCAAAAUUAAAACGUUUGUUAUAAGUUGACACAAUUCAAACAUUUUUAGGUUUCCCUUACAUAUAAAUAACCUAAAUAAGAGAUAUUUAAACUUUUACCCCAAUUUGUACACCAGUUCACAACCUUCCAGAAACGCAAACACAGAACAAAAGGGGCGUAGCAUUUUGACCACAUAUAUUGACAAGAAGAAUAGAACUCACUGCGACUCAGAUAUUACAUCGAUUACCCGCGCUGAGGCAAAAAAGCAAUUUUAAAUGUUUGCGGUCAAAGCACAAGCUCAUACUAUUGGUUUCAGAUGAUUUCAACUCGAUUUUUAACGAAGCAUUGGCUAUCCCAACAUAUUUAUUGGGAUUUUUGCUGAAUUGCUGUCAUUUUAUAUAGAAACAGUAUUAACAGAACAGAUUUCAAUGUUCAAAAUGACACCAUAACCAUACUAAAUUAUCUACCACUAGCAAAUCUUUGUUUCGGAAAGUCCACACCUUUGCGAUUAUGAAAAUGGAGAGGUCGAGCAUGUAAAACAUGCUCUCACUAUCAAAAAUCAGUCCAAAACGGCAGCAUAACAAGAACCAUUUGAAGUCCUCAAAGUUGAGUAAAAAUUAUGGAUGCAUGCAGGAAGGUACUAACAAUAAGCAAUAUGUUUAAAAAGAAAACAAAACCAUUAUAUCCUUUUGAUAAAUCACAGAUCCUCUCUCUUAGAGAUAUAUACUUAAAUUAAAACGUGAAACUAUAGACAUGUUAAAAAAGUCUUAAUUUGAAUAGAGGAGAUGGCUGGAAAUUAUAAAUACCAAGAAUCCCCUCUCCAAAACUACGAAAUCCCAUGUGUAUGACUCAAACUAAACCUCAAGUCCAUCAAGUUACAGUUCCUGUAAAAGAAUUGACUCUCCGGGAAA
This is a long non-coding RNA of Danaus plexippus (monarch butterfly), 1222 nucleotides long. RefSeq lists it as uncharacterized. The transcript is spliced from 3 exons. NCBI's taxonomy places the organism in Eukaryota, Metazoa, Arthropoda, Insecta, Lepidoptera, Nymphalidae. The record is from RefSeq and is a predicted model, not a curated record.